This 143-nucleotide microRNA precursor is filed under the name Phlebotomus papatasi. RNAcentral describes it as "microRNA mir-50". The record is from RNAcentral. Lineage: Eukaryota; Metazoa; Arthropoda; Insecta; Diptera; Psychodidae.
GUCCUCGGUCAUUCCGUGGACAUGUCGGACAUUCCGUGGACAUGUCGGACAUUCAUGGACAUGUCCUCGGGAUAUGUUCACGGAAUGUCCGAGGACAUGUCCACGGAAUGUCCGACAUGUCCACGGAAUGCCCGAGGACAUGU